Oreochromis niloticus (Nile tilapia) is the source of this 697-nucleotide long non-coding RNA. RefSeq lists it as uncharacterized. The record is from RefSeq and is a predicted model, not a curated record. NCBI's taxonomy places the organism in Eukaryota, Metazoa, Chordata, Actinopteri, Cichliformes, Cichlidae. The transcript is spliced from 2 exons.
GAGGAAGGGAGCGGAAGACCGAGAGUGGAACAGGGGGCCCCGAUGGAGGGGGGUUCCCAGCUGGCAACCAUCAGUGCCAACAACAAGGACAGCUGUCACUGCAACACGUGAGGCAUUCCCCGCACAACCAGUGGGGCUCUCCAAGCCCACAUUUCUGCACAGAAGGAGAAACGCACCUGGAUAUCAGCAGGCCUGUGGAUAAGCACUGCCAGAAGGUGGUUGAAAGAAUGAAGAAGUGAGGAGUGUUUAUGUGGUUGAACAAGACAACCGUCGUUGGAAAACUCCAAAACAUAAUCUAAUGCAUAGAAGCAAAACAGCAGAAGAGGCUUCGCUUUGUCAUAUGUUGAUGUGCUUAACAUAAAGUUAGGGCAUUAUUAUCUGAGCAUACAAAACUGUGUGCAAUGAAAAUAGGUUUUAUUUUAAUUAGUUACAUAAAUAUUUUACAUAAUAAUUUUGUCUUUUUUUUAAAAGAAUGUUUUCUAGUUUUCCGGGAUGCACAAGGAUCAGGAUCUGGAAACUCAAUCAACAUUAUUUUUCUUAUUUAACACCCAUACCUUUCCUGCUGUGGCAUAUCAAAAUGUUUUCAGUGAAACCUUAAUCAGACGCUUAACGUGCAGGAUCUUGAUUCUAAUCCUAAUUUUAACACAAAAGAUCAAUGAUUAAAACCUGACGUGCAACAUGAAAAAUAUCGAUACAU